Molecule: transfer RNA, 72 nt
Filed under: Canis lupus familiaris (dog)
Lineage: Eukaryota; Metazoa; Chordata; Mammalia; Carnivora; Canidae
Also listed under: 1 other name
Rfam family: tRNA
About the family: Transfer RNA (tRNA) molecules are approximately 80 nucleotides in length. Their secondary structure includes four short double-helical elements and three loops (D, anti-codon, and T loops).
Source: Rfam by way of RNAcentral
GCUUGGCUGGCUCAGCUGUAGAGCAUGGGACUCUUGGUCUUGGGGUCAUGAGUUCAAGCCCCAUGUUGGGUG